UAUAAAAAUUCCUUUAAUUCUUUACAACCCCUAAUUUGUACUGAAUGGUCUCAUGACUUCAUGAGAGCCUAUAUGUUAGAACUAGUAACAAGAAGAAGCCCUUCUCCAAAAUGUAAGCAUGAGCCGAAACGAACAAUUCAUCGGCAUUUAAAGUUAAUAAUCCCCUAGUAGUAACUUUUCAAGAAAAACCUACUAUAUUUAACGUCAACCUUACACCAGCUCAUUUAUGGAAAGAUUAAAAGACUAGGAAGGAACUCGGCAAAUAAUUAACCCCGCCUGUUUACCAAAAACAUCGCCUCCUGACUUCUAUAGGAGGUCCAGCCUGCCCAGUGACAAAGUUAAACGGCCGCGGUACCCUAACCGUGCAAAGGUAGCGCAAUCACUUGUUCUUUAAAUGAGGACUAGUAUGAACGGCAUCACGAGGGUUAUGCUGUCUCCCUACUUUAUUCAGUGAAACUGAUCUCCCCGUGAAGAAGCGGGGAUAAAAAUAUAAGACGAGAAGACCCCAUGGAGCUUUAAACUCAGUAUCAACUGCCAUAAUUAAAACCUAAUAUCCAAGCAGCAUAUGACUACUAGUUUUCGGUUGGGGUGACCACGGAGUAAAACCUAACCUCCAUGAUGAAAGGAAAUAAUGACCUAAAUUAAGAGCUACAACUCUAAAUAUCAUAAAAUUGACUAAAUUGAUCCAAUUAAUUGAUCAACGAACCAAGUUACCCUGGGGAUAACAGCGCAAUCCAUUUCAAGAGCUCUUAUCGACAAAUGGGUUUACGACCUCGAUGUUGGAUCAGGGUAUCCCAGUGGCGCAGCCGCUACUAACGGUUCG
RNAcentral lists this ribosomal RNA (823 nucleotides) under Microhyla heymonsi (Taiwan rice frog). RNAcentral's name for it is "partial 16S rRNA". It matches the Rfam family "Bacterial large subunit ribosomal RNA", at positions 1430 to 2575 of the family's 2925-position model. Lineage: Eukaryota; Metazoa; Chordata; Amphibia; Anura; Microhylidae. The record is from RNAcentral.